GGGAGUGACGUCAGUCAUCAUGGCCCUUACGGCCUGGGCUACACACGUGCUACAAUGGUCGGUACAAAGGGUUGCCAAGCCGCGAGGUGGAGCUAAUCCCAUAAAACCGAUCGUAGUCCGGAUCGCAGUCUGCAACUCGACUGCGUGAAGUCGGAAUCGCUAGUAAUCGUGAAUCAGAAUGUCACGGUGAAUACGUUCCCGGGCCUU
Molecule: ribosomal RNA, 207 nt
Filed under: uncultured Pseudomonas sp.
Lineage: Bacteria; Pseudomonadati; Pseudomonadota; Gammaproteobacteria; Pseudomonadales; Pseudomonadaceae
Description: partial 16S ribosomal RNA
Rfam family: Bacterial small subunit ribosomal RNA
Source: RNAcentral